AAUAAAAAAUAAAAAGGAACAAUAUUGUUCUUGGCAAUAAAGAACAAUUAUGAACUUGAAAAGAAAACUGGGCUCAGAACGCAAGUCAUUUCUUAGGUGGUCUCAGGCUGAACUAAGAUCCAUUUCUCAGUAUACUUUUCCUAAAUGAAAUAGAAAUUGUAUUACGAAAUAUUAUAAUGUAUGGAUAGAGAUAAUAACUUUGGCAUGCUUGAUACUGUGACAUAAAGAUUUGGUGAGGGGUGAAAUAGUUCAUAGCAUCCUUCCAAGGGAUCUAUUAACAAGAAUUUGAAGUCCUAGAUUCACUUAGAAUCACCUGGGAAGGUUUAAAAAGUCCCGGAGUCCCAAAUAUUCAGACAUAACCAAGCAGUCUUGUGUUUGUACCUAAUGUGAGCAUUUUUUAAGUAAGCUCUUCACAUGAUUCCACAGAACAACCAGAGUUGAAAACUAUUCAAUGAUGCAGGUCUCCAAUUUUAGGCACCAGAAGAAGUGCCUGGAAAGCUUGUUAAAAGUGCACAUGCAGAUUGAGCCUCAAUGGGACUGAAGUGGGGCACAAAAUAUAUUUACUUAACAAACUUUCUAGGUGAUUCUAAUGUGGAGGCCCACAGACCACUCUGAAAAACACAGGUGCAGGAUUCGUUGUUUCUGUAAUUAAAAAUGCCGCCACUCUGUGGAAUGCAAAAUUGAAGAUUCCAGCAGACACAUAUCACCAUAAACUAGGUCUUCCUUUUUAAAUAAUUCCUCCCAAAUUGCUAAUCAGAACUCAUGAUGAAGUCUUGAUUUAAAAAACCUGAACU
Molecule: long non-coding RNA, 794 nt
Filed under: Homo sapiens (human)
Lineage: Eukaryota; Metazoa; Chordata; Mammalia; Primates; Hominidae
Description: HSALNT0281220
Source: RNAcentral